Candoia aspera is the source of this 2734-nucleotide long non-coding RNA. RefSeq lists it as uncharacterized. Lineage: Eukaryota; Metazoa; Chordata; Lepidosauria; Squamata; Candoiidae. The transcript is spliced from 2 exons. The record is from RefSeq and is a predicted model, not a curated record.
AGCCAAGAACCAAGUGACGUUACAGUCCAAAAACAAUAAACACUAAUUUGGAUCCUGUUGGUGAUAAGUGUUAGCUCAAGGAGGUCAUUAAAAAUACUUAUUUGGCUACUUAGUAUUAAAAAAAUGGACGUCCUUGGAAAAUUUGACUACUAACUUUAAACCAAGUGUCCUUGUUUUCAUAUCAUUUCUUUGGGUAUGUCGGGUCAUUUUAACCACUGCAUCUUCUGCUCCCUCAUUAACCCCUCUUCAAAAUAAACUGACUUGGUGUUGGGAAUAUAGUAUGAUCCAAAAUCCUGGACCUAACACUUCAAUGGAGAAAUUUUCUAUUGACUUUUUCUACUGGGCCAGUCGGUAAGCAGCUUUGGUAUGGGUUUCUUUGGGGGAGAAUAAAAACAAAUUAUUAAGAGAUUAAUGUUUUCUUUGAAUAUACCCCCCAAACUACACUGAUUUUAUUAUUUUGGUAUUAAUAUUAAUGUAUUAUUGUGAGCCACAGAGAGUCUUAGGAGGCAGCAUAUACGUUAUUAUAUAAAUAAAUGAAUAAAAUUACUGUACUUUAAACUUUAAAAAAAAAAAUUAGGUCAUAGAUAGCCUCAGUAUGAUGAUAUUCUGUGAAUAUCCUGAGUAACAGUAGUACAGGGAGAGGACAGUUCACAUGGCCAUGCACAAACACAGUCAAACCUUUCUCACCCCUCUCCCUCAUUAAAAGACAAAAACAGUAAUGAUCAGAGGAUUAAGGAGGGCGGGUUAAAUUUAGGCAGGAGAAGUCAAUAUAUGUAUAUAUGCGAGGUAUAGGGAGAGAAAUGGAAAGUAAACAAAUUCAACUGAAAUCACUCCUACAUUCCUGGGGAAUCUGUUUCUAAUUUUAAUUAUACCUCUGUUUGUUUGAGAUUUAUUGACAAAAUAAUAAAAGAAAUAACUUUCUAUGGCAGCACGCAAUAAAAGGAUCCCAUUUGGGAAUACGUUAAUUAAGUUUCUGUAUCUGUAAAUAAGAUGGGGAGGGAUGCAAAAUGCAAGCAUUGUAACAAAGAAAGGCAAGCCUUGAGUGCCCAAACGAAACAUCAUGAGGCUUGAUCCUCUUUGAAGAUACUGAAAGCAACACAAGUCAAGUCUGCACAUGCAAAGUCUUCAGGAGAAUACAUAGAAGACUGAUAAUUGUCUACAUGCACCAUUUUCAGUAACAUCACUGUCUACCAUUUUAGAAGUAUCUAAUUAGUAAUGUCCAAUUAUAUAAAAUAUGUCAGAAAAAAUAUUUGAAAAAAGAAAGAAAUACCUUUAGCUGGAAAAAGAAGAAUAAAAGUCUACCAUCCACAAAUAGGCAUAGAUAAAUUUAUGAUAACAGACUACAGCAAGAAAUAAUUGAUGAAAAAAGUAUCCUUUUGUUUAUGCAGAAAACUCUUUUUUUUGCGGAUGAGGACACAAACAUCAUUGAUGCAAUUCAAUCUCUUUGACCAGGAUGCAGUCCACCAGAGCAGAGCAAAGACCAUAAGCAAAUUGUUGGAUAAAAUGUAUAAGAAGAAAAUAGAAAAGUGUGCAAAUAAUCUAGAAGGAACCACUGCUGGUCAAAGUGUGUGACCAGCAUUCACAACAGUCCAUACAUUCUUCUGAAUCAAAAGAAAAAAAAAGGAUAAUUUUCUUAAUGAAAUAAUUGAGACAUCAGUAAAUGUAUAUAUUAUUGAAUGCUUGCAAGAAUUCCAAACUAAAAAUAUUUUUAUUAAAUGGUUAAUGUGCAUUUGUGUCAUAAUGCUGCAAAGAUAUCCAGGAUGAGAAGAGAUACAGAAAUCAAGAAGACCAAAACUAAUAAAGUGCCAUUACAGUGUUUAGUUGAAGAACCUUCAAGCAAGUACUUCAGUUGUUCCAGAAGUAAAGAUAAUAUUGCUGAAAUUGCAGAAUGUAUCUACUGUACAAUAAUAAUUUGAUAACAACUGUUCUGAAAGCAAGAGGAGUCAGUUCUUCCACAAGCCAUUCCGUAAUACUAAUUAGUAAAUAUUGAACAGUAUAUAAAUGGUGGCCUUAUGCCUCAAACAAAAAUAAGGGAAGUAGAGAUGUUAAAAUAGUAGCCAGAUUUUUUUAAAAAGAUAGGGCUAGAGCAAAACACUGAAUAUAUGCCGUUUCUCUUGAAGCCUUUUUCCAUAGCCCUUGGACCUAAGUGCAAGAAAAUUGUUACUUUAUUUCUGCUGCUGUGUUGAAGUGCGAAAGGAACUGAGAUUUUAAAUUGAAAUUUCCAAUGACGGAGUUGAAUUGCAGGCAUUAAAAUGAACUAUUUCCAGCUCAUUUUCUUGUUGCUAUUUUCAGCAUUCACUAUUGGGGGAAGUUUUAACUGUUAAAGUAAAGGAGUUGGUUAUGACAGGGACAUACCAACUAUCCUCGAUUUCAGGCUAAGUCAGACUUCUUUAAGGCAUUUUUUUUACGAAGUUUUGAAAGCAAGUUCUCUUAAUGACCUGCAUUUGAUUUCAGAUUAUUGAAGUGAUAAUCCAGUUUCUAACAACAGUAUUCUCCUCCUCUGCACUUGUAAAGAAAGUUCUUUUCUUUCUUCACAUUAAUUCAUUUUAAAUUCAGAAGUAAUUUCGGAUUUCAAAAACAGGAAAGUUUUUUUCCCCAGAUUAUGAAUCAUGAGAGUUGAAGAAUGAUGUGUUCAGUGUUUUCACUUGGCUGAAAUUCCCUGUUCAACUCUUUAAAAAACAGCACUUUAUUUGUAUAUCUAACUGUUCAAAAAUAUAUGUGGCUGUUCCUCAAA